RNAcentral lists this transfer RNA (77 nucleotides) under Candidatus Woesearchaeota archaeon. RNAcentral describes it as "tRNA-Ala". It matches the Rfam family "tRNA". Rfam says of the family: Transfer RNA (tRNA) molecules are approximately 80 nucleotides in length. Their secondary structure includes four short double-helical elements and three loops (D, anti-codon, and T loops). Further hydrogen bonds mediate the characteristic L-shaped molecular structure. tRNAs have two regions of fundamental functional importance: the anti-codon, which is responsible for specific mRNA codon recognition, and the 3' end, to which the tRNAs corresponding amino acid is attached (by aminoacyl-tRNA synthetases). tRNAs cope with the degeneracy of the genetic code in two manners: having more than one tRNA (with a specific anti-codon) for a particular amino acid; and 'wobble' base-pairing, i.e. permitting non-standard base-pairing at the 3rd anti-codon position. Lineage: Archaea; Nanobdellati; Candidatus Woesearchaeota. The record is from RNAcentral.
GGGCCCUUAGCUCAGUUGGCUAGAGCGCUUCCAUGGCAUGGAAGAGGUCGUCGGUUCGAACCCGAUAGGGUCCACCA